UACGUAGGGGGCAAGCGUUGUCCGGAAUUAUUGGGCGUAAAGAGCGUGUAGGCGGCCAGGUAGGUCGGUUGUGAAAACUGGAGGCUCAACCUUCAGACGUCGACCGAAACCAUCUGGCUAGAGUCCGGGAGAGGAGAGUGGAAUUCCAGGUGUAGCGGUGAAAUGCGUAGAUAUCUGGAGGAAUACCGGUGGCGAAGGCGGCAUCCUGGACCGGCAUUGACGCUGAGGAGCGAAAGCCAGGGGAGCAAACGGG
This 253-nucleotide ribosomal RNA is filed under the name uncultured bacterium. RNAcentral describes it as "partial 16S ribosomal RNA". It matches the Rfam family "Bacterial small subunit ribosomal RNA", at positions 524 to 776 of the family's 1533-position model. The record is from RNAcentral.